UUCCCCAUAGGAAUGAUCCAUUUUCAAGUGAAUAUCGGGAAGACCCCAGCAGUGGCUUUUGCUGGACUAAGUAGUCAGAACGCUGGUGUUAUCACGAUCGCAGACACUGUGUUCGGGUCAACGCCCCCGAUUAAUCCAGAUAUUCUCGCUCAGGCGUUUCAGUUAGAUGUCAAUGUUGUCAAGGAUCUUGAAGCCAAGUUUAAAAACUAAAUCUAGUCACCAACAAUACGAGUGUUUAUCGUUUUAAUUCUUAAGUAAUGAUGUAUCACGAAUUAAAGGUUUAUGCUUAAUAAAAUAAAAAGGUGUUUAUUACCUGAUUUGAUAUUUAAUAUUAAAUUUCUUUUUCUUAUAUAUAACUCUGUCUUACAACUUUUUAAAUGUUGGGGUAUUAAAAUUUUCUUGGAUAUUCAAUAAGUCUUUAAGAGUUGUUAGAAUGAUUAAAAAAAAAAAAUGUACAAGCCAUCAGAUUAUAUAUAGAUAGGGUAAUUAUCAAAAAUAACACGCUUAACUUUUUGUUUUCUAUAAAUACCACUUAAGUUUUUGUAUUUCAAAAAUACCACUUAAAUUUUGUUUUUUCAAAAAUACCAUAAAAUAACUAAAAUUUAACUUUCAAAAUUCAAAAUUAAAACUUAAACAUUAAACCCUACACUUUUAAAAUUAUACUAUUUUUGGAAUACAACCACUUUCGUCGGUAUUUUUGAAACAUCAAACUAAUAGUUAUAUUUUCUGAAACAAAACUUGAAGGUAUGGUAUUUUUAAGAAUUGCAAGGUAUAAUAGGAUGUAAAGAUAAACCAUGCAAUUGAUACAAAUUGGAUGUAAAUAAAUUAUAAGAUAGAAGCAUGAGUUUUAUAAAGUGUGUCUUGUUGGAAAAAUAUACACACUAAUAAUAAUAGUUGAUUUUUCAAUCAUCAGUUUUCUAUUUUCGUUGAUUUAAAGCAUGAACUCUGCACAUGAUGAUUAAAAUGCUUAAUUUUAUGUUGAUUUUCAAUUUAAUCAUGAAUUUUCGUUGACAAAAGCCAAUUAAAGCACAAAAUCGAAAUCGAAAAAAAAAUCUUGAUGAGAAACUAAGAUUAAAUCGGGAUUUGUGAAAAAAUCCAGAAGAUUAAAGAGGAAAUCGAGAGAAUUUUUAAUUUGAAAAUUCUAAUUUUGAUAUCAAUUUUCUUAUUUCGAUACCGAUAUUGUGCCUCAAUUGGCUUUGUCAACGAAAAUUCGUGAUUAAAUUGAAAGUCAACAUAAAAUUAAGCAUUUUAAUCACCAGGUACAGAAUUCAUGCUUUAAAUCAACGAAAUUGAACAACUUAUGAUUUAAAUGACAUUUUUCCCAUUGAUUUUUAUGUGACCUUCUCACAGACAAGAUGGAAAUUUGGUCCUUGAUUUUGUCCUUGUUUCACUGGUUCAAGACUAAGAUUUAUACCAACAAUAUUCGCUUAAUUUGAUAUUUUACUAUUAACAUUACUUUAGGUACAUUGAAUUACCCUUUUUUACCCAACAAACAAUAUUGAAUUAGUCUUUACAUUUUAUUUUUUUUGUCAAACAGUCUUUACAUUUUAUAAGUUAAAUCUAUUCCAAAAGACCAAGGAAAUUCGAAAAUAACCAACACUGUACACGUAAAAAAGAAAUAUAUUUUCUAGAUAUAGCAGUCAAUCUAAAAUAAACGCAAACGUUUACAUAGAAGACUUGUUCGUGUUUGUUGUGAUUUUUAAUAUCAAGGCUAAUUAAGCAAGUCUUCCAGUAAACGUAAACUUGACGUAGUCAUAAAUACCUUACAUAAAGUAUGCUCUAAUUUUACCUACGUCAUAACAGAUUUGCAAAAGAUGUUGUAUCUCUCUCUAUCUAAGAGAUAUCUAGAAGACAAAGAUAUAAAUAUCUGACAUAAAUCUGCUAAAAUAUCUUUUAUAUAAGAUUAAUUUCUUUUUUUUCAGAAAAUAAAAUAUUUGUUUGGCUUCAUGUAUAUAAUGUUUGGAUGGCGGUUUUGUAGAUACUGACAAGUUGACUAAUAAUAAUUUUAGUUAUUGUCAAAAUAAAAAGUUAUUAGAAAAUAGUGAAAAACAAGACAUCUUUUAAUUUUUUUGUCAUGAAGUUCGAACCUAGACUCUAGUAUUCGUGGAUCCAAAAAUAGUCUUUAGUCUAUCUUUCGGAAAUAUUCCUUUUCGCAAGUGAACUCAUACUAGGAUUCUUUUCUCUUACGGAAACCACUAGAUCAAGAACCAACCAGUUUGGUGCCUUUAUAACGAUGGCAUAACGGCUGCAAAUUAUCGUACUUUGUCACCAUUCACAUAUACUAGUGUAGGCGAUCGAACACCCUAGAUUUACUAUGUUUGAGAUGUUUCUAUUAGGAAUGUGGCCUAAUUUAAUUCAAAUGCUAGCUCAAGAGUUAAGGAUUGCUACAUCCUAUAUAUAUUGCCCAAAUAUCUUAAUCCCAAGCAAUGUGGGACAUUCUAAUAGGCCUCCUCGAGAUGUGGGUAGGAAACGGUCCAACGGAAAACAGCCCAAGCCCAACAUCUCGGAAAUACAACAAGACAUGCCACUUAUAUGGGCCACAUAGGUGGAAAAACAUUUUGCUUAGAUUAAGAUCUUUGGGUAGUAUAUAAAGGAUGUGACAAUCCUUAACUCUUGAGCUAGCUUUUAGGUUAAGUUAGGUUAUAUUCCUAAUAGUUUCACUUUCACUCAUAGCACAAAAGAUAAUUUUCGUUUCACUACUAAAAGAAAAAAUUUAACUUUUUUUUAGAACUAUCGUACAUUGACAAGUUUUAUUUAACUAAACAAUUCUUGUCGAAAAAACCUUGUUUAUUACUCAAAGUACUAAAAAAACUAGCACAUGUUUGUUAGUCAUUAUGAAUCAAUAGAAGCUUAACAAGCCUAUAUAUUUAGUAGUAUUAUUGAGAUCCAUGUCAGCCAUUCCAUGUUAACUUUUUGAAUGUAACUAUGAGUUCUCUGAUUUGGGAAAAAUACGGCUUCUAAGCCUUGUUAAUUAAACUACCAUUUGUUGCAGUGGAAAUAGUCGUGUCUCGUAUGUAGGAAACUUCUUGACUCUAGAAGUUGAUUUAAAGAUAACACUAUUAUAAAUCAAUAUAAGCUAUGGCUAUGGUUUUGACUUUUGCGUAUGAAGUCAUGCAUGCAAAUCCAAUUUUAAAUUAAAGAUAUAUAGAUUAAGUUAUCGAUAGACUUGUUAAACGUUUUUGAACUGCCACUUUGAAACAUGCGAAUUACAAAUUUAUAGAAAUAUCUUUGGACCACGUCAAAUAUGACAUGCGCUUUUGUCCUAUAAAUACUGAGCUCAAAUGCUUCACAAUUCACAACCAACACACACAAUUAUAAAAGUCUUUUAAAAGCAUUAGCAUAACCUUUUCUUUGAAAAUGAGGGUUCCCAUGUCUCUCGUCUUGAUUACCAUAUCAGCUUUGGUCAUUUCCUUUGCCGAAGCUUCUGAUCCAAGUCCACUUCAAGACUUCUGCGUGGCCAUUGGUGACCUCAAAAAUGGUGGUAAGUAUAAAACUCAAAUUCUUGAACUCUCAACUAAUUAUUAUUCUCCUUUAUUAUUUUGUAAGUUCGAUUCUCUUCAACUAAAUUAUUACUCUCAAUAUUUGUACUUGCAGUUUUUGUGAAUGGUAAGUUCUGUAAGGAUCCGAAGCAAGCGAAGGCAGAAGAUUUCUUCUUUGCAGGCCUCAACAAGGCAGGAAACACUACCAAUAGAGUCAAAUCCAACGUGACAACGGUCAAUGUCGACCAGAUUCCCGGGUUAAACACAUUGGGAAUAUCCUUGGUCCGCAUAGACUAUGCGCCUUAUGGACAAAACCCGCCUCACACGCACCCUCGUGCCACUGAGAUCCUUGUUCUUGUCGAGGGAACAUUAUAUGUAGGUUUUGUCUCUUCCAAUCAAGACAAUAACCGUUUAUUCGCCAAAGUGCUGAACCCCGGCGACGUGUUCGUGUUCCCCAUUGGAAUGAUCCAUUUCCAAGUGAAUAUCGGGAAGACCCCCGCAGUGGCCUUUGCUGGACUAAGUAGUCAGAACGCUGGUGUUAUCAUGAUCGCAGACACUGUGUUCGGGUCAACGCCCCCAAUUAAUCCAGAUAUUCUCGCUCAGGCAUUUCAGCUAGAUGUCAACGUUGUCAAGGAUCUUGAAGCCAAGUUUAAAAACUAAAUCUAGUCACCAACAAUACGAGUAUUUAUUGUUUUAACACUUAAUGAUGUAUCACGAAUUAAAGGUUUAUGCUUAAUAAAAUAAAAAGGUGUUUAUUACCUGAUUUGAUAUUUAAUAUUAAAUUUCCCUUUCCUAUAUAUAACUCUGUCUUACAACUUUUUAAAUGUUGGGGUAUUAAAAUUUUCUUGGAUAUUCAAUAAGUCUUUAAGAGUUGUUAGAAUGAUAAAAAAAAAAAAAUGUACAAGCCAUCAGAUUAUAUAUAGAUAGGGUAAUUAUCAAAAAUAACACACUUAACUUUUUGUUUUCUAUAAAUACCACUUAAGUUUUGGUUUUUCAAAAAUACCACUUACAUUUUACUUUUUCAAAAAUACCAUAAAAUUAACUAAAAUUUAAGUUUCAACUUUCAAAAUAAAAACUUAAACAUUAAGCCCUACACUUUAAAAAUUAUACUAUUUUUGGAAUACCAACACUUUCGUUGGUAUUUUUGGAACAUCAAAUUGAUAGUUAUAUUUUAUGAAACAAAACUUGAAAGUAUGGUAUUUUUAAGAAUUUCAAGUUAUAAUAGGAUGUAAAGAUAAAUCAUGCAAUUGAUACAAAUUGGAUGUACAUAAAUCAAAGUAUCAUUUUGAUAGAGGCUUGAGUGUUAUAAAGCGUGUCUUGUUGGAAAAAUAUAUACACAAAUUAUAAUAGUUGAUUUUUAUGUGACCUUCUCACAGACAUGAUGGAAAUUUGGUCCUUGAUUUUGUCCUUGUUGCACUGGUUCAAGUCAAGACUAAGAUAUAUACCAACUAUAUUUGCUUAAUUUGAUAUUUUACUAUUAACAUUACUUUUGGUACAUUGAAUUACCGUUUUUCCCCAACAAACAACAUUGAAUUAUUCUUUACAUUUGAUAAGUUAAAUCUAUUCCAAAAGACCAAGGAAAUUGGAAAAUAACCAACACAGUACACGUAAAAAAAUUAUAUUAUCUAAGCUAUAGCAGUCGAUCAAAAAUAAAAGCAGACGUUUACAUAGAAGUAGGCCUGGGCAAUCGGUUUUAUCGGUUUGUUCGGUUCGGUUUAUUCGGUUUUUCGGGUUUUUCGGUUUUUAAAAUUUCUGCCGAAUUGAACCAAAUAAAAAUUCGGUUCGGUUCGGUCGGUACUCGGUUUGUUCGGUUCGGUUAUAGGCCAAAAAAUCAAUUCCGAAAUAAACCGAAAUUUUUUCCAAUUCGGUUAAUUCGAACCGAAUUAGACCAAAAUAAAGAUAAUGGGCUUUUAAUAAGCAAAAUUUUACGGUUACAAACGAGUAAAAUAAUGGGCCAUGACUAAUUACAGAGUUAAGCCCAAAUAAAACUAAAACCCAAGUUCAAAAAAAAAAUUAGGGUUGAUAGACUCGCCGCUACUCUCUUCCUCCGCUGUGACAGUGACGGCGACGAGAUGGCGGUGUCAUCAAACAAUGCGAUCUCUCCGAAUAAACCCUCAACGAAAGCUAUCAUACCAUCGUCAAAAUCACAUGCAGUAAGAAUCCAAUAUCUAAAAUUGAGAAAAUAGGAAAAGAAAAACAAAAUUGAAAAUCGAUUAGAUCUGAAGUUUUACAUGCCGUGUGUUUGGUGACGAGGAGGAGCGUAACGGCGACGCCAGCGAUAAACGGCCAAAACAUUUCGAAUCUGAACCACAGACUCGAUGUCGGAGAGAAUGAUUCAAAAUAGCCAUGGGUUAGGAUGAUAUGGCCAACAACGUUUCAAAUCUCUCUUGAAUAACACUUGCCAUGGAUUGAUGUCGAGGCUGAGAAAGAAGAAGAGAAGAAAAGAGAUGGAGAAGAAGAAGAAGAAGCUAUAAAGUUAAUGAAGGAAUGAGAAGAGAUCGAAGGAGAAAAGAAGAAAGGAGAUGGACAUGAAGAAGCUAUAGAAAAUAGAUCUAGGGUUUUUGUUUUUUAUAUGGGUGUCUAUUAACCGAUAAAACCGAUCGGUUAUCGUCUGUCGAACCGAACCGAACCGAGAACCGAAGUCUAAUUAUAAUUCUGCCGAUCGGUUUAGCCUUUCCUUCCUUAUCAGUGGCGAAAACCGAAAAAAUCGGUUUGUUCGGUUCGGUUAAUUCGGUUUAUUCCGAUUGCCCAGGCCUACAUAGAAGACUUGUUCGUGUUUGUUGUAAUUUUUUAAUACCAAAGCGCUGAUUAAGCAAGUCUUCCGGUAAACAUAAACUUGACGUAGUCAUAAAUAACUUACAUAAAAGUAUGCUCUAAUUUUACCUACGUCAUAACAGAUUUGCAAAAGAUGUUGUAUCUCUAUCUAAGAUAUAUUCCCUCCGUUUCAUUUUACUUGUCGUUUUAGAGUUAAAAUUUUGUUUCAUAAUAGUUGUCGUUUUAGGUUUUCGAUACAAAUGUUUGGUGAAAAUUCCAGUUUUAUCCCUACUGUUUUAAUGUUUCGGCCAAUGAAUUCUUUUAUAAAAUAUAUUAAUAAAGGGUAAAACAGAAAAUUUAAUGUUUUUCUUAAUUUGUGUGAGAAAACCUUAAACGACAACUAAAACAAAACGGAGGGAGUAUCUAGAAGACAAAGAUAUAAAUCUGCUAAAAUAUCUUUUAUAUAAGAUUAAUUUCUUUUUUUGGAAAAUGAAAUAUUUGUUUGGCUUCAUCUAUAUAAUGUUUGGAUGGCGGUUUUGUAGAUACUCACAAGUUGACUAAUAAUUUUAGUUAUCGUCAAAAUAAUAAGUUAUUAGAAAAAUGAAAAAUACUUGGUCUACCCUAGGGGGGUGAACAUUUAUAUUCACCCCUUUUAUUUUAUCCAAUCAGAAUCUGCCACCUAAUAAUAAUAAUUUUUUUUAACUAUAAAAUCUAAUUUGCCACUAAAAUGAAUGAAAUUAUGUAUCGAUUUGGAUUUAUUACAAAAGAUUAGGAUUUAGAUUUUAUGAUUAAACAAAUAUCGGUUUGGGUUUAUAAACGGAUUUAGAUUUUACAAUUAAACAAGGUUAAAUGUCGGUUUGGGUUUAGAAAGUACGAAUUAGGGUUUAGAUUUUUUACGAUUAAACGAGUUUAAAUGGCAGUUUGGGUUUACAAAGGAAAAUUAGGGUUUAGAUUUUUUACGAUUAAACGAGUUUAAAUGGCGGUUUGGGUUUACAAAAGAGAAUUAGGGUUUAGAUUUUGUAAUUAAACGAGAUUAUAUAUCGGUUUGAGGUUACAAAAGAGUGGUUAUGGAUUAGAUUUAAUAAUUAAAUGAGUUUAAUUUUUUAUUAUGUGGCGAAUUCUGAUUGGUUAAGAUAAAAGGGAUUCUCCCUAGGAGUGAACCCAAGUAUUGCUAAAAAAAAAAAGCGAAAAACAAGACAUCUUUUAAUUUUUUUUUGCCAUGAAGUUCGAACCUAGACUCUAGUAUUCGUGGACCCAAAAAUAGUCUUUAGUCUUUCGGAAAUACUCCUUUUCGCAAGUGAACUCAUACUAGGAUUCGUUUCUCUUACGGAAACCACUAGUUCAAGAACCAGUUUGGUGCAUUUUUAAAGAUGGCAUGACAACAGCUGCAAAUUACCGGACUUUGUCACCAUUCACAUAUAGUAUAAGCGAACACCGUAUAUUACUAUGUUUGAGAUGUUUAACUUUAAUUCACUCGUAGCACAACAGAUAAUUUUCGUUUCACUACUAAAAGAAAAAGUUUUAAAAUAUUUUAGAACUAUCGUAUAUUGACAAGUUUUAUUGAACUAAACAAUUCUUGCCGAAAAAACCUUGUUUAUCACUCAAAGUACUAAGAAAAAUAGCAUAUGUUUGUUAGUCAUUGAAAAUCAAUAGAAGCUUAACAAGCAUAAAUUUAUAUUAGUAGUCUUAUUAAGAUCCAUGUCAGCCAUUCCAUGUUAACUUUUUGAAUGUAACUAUGAAUUCUCUGAUUUGGGGAAAAUAUGGCUUAUUUGCCUUGUUAAUUAAACUACCAUUUGUUGCAGUGGAAAUAGUCGUGUCUGGUAUCUAGGAAACUUCUUGACUCUAGAAGCUGAUUUAAAGAUAACACUAUUAUAAAUCAAUACUAUGGGUAUGGUUUUGCGUAUAUAGUCAGGCAAAUCCAAUUUUAAUUAAACAUAGAUUUAAGUUAUCGAUAGACUUGUUAAACGUUUUUGAACUGCCACUUUGAAACAUGCGGCGAAUUACAAAUUAAUAGAAUAUCUUUGGACCACGUCAAAUAUGACAUGCGCUUUUGUCCUAUAAAUACUGAGCUCCAAUGCUUCACAAUUCACAAGCAACACACACAUUUAUAAAAGUCUUUAAAAAGCAUUAGCAUAACCUUUCGUUUGAAAAUGAGGUUUUCCAAGUCUCUCGUCCUGAUUACCUUAUCGGCUUUGGUCCACUUCAAGACUUCUGCGUGGCCAUUAGUGACCUCAAAAAUGGUGGUAAGUAUAAAACUCAAAUUCUUGAACUCUCAAUUAACUAAUUAUUAUUCUCCUUUAUUAUUUUGUAAUUUGGAAAUUGAAAUAAAAGGUUUUUCUAAUUAAUAUUUCUACUUGCAGUUUUUGUGAAUGGUAAGUUCUGCAAGUAUCCGAAGCAAGCGAAGGCAAAAGAUUUCUUCUACUCAGGCCUCAACCAGGCAGGGACCACUAAUAAUAGAGUCAAAUCCAACGUGACAACGGUCAAUGUCGACCAGAUUCCAGGGUUAAACACUUUGGGAAUAUCCUUGGUCCGCAUAGACUAUGCGCCUUAUGGACAAAACCCACCUCACACGCACCCGCGUGCUACUGAGAUCCUUGUUCUUGUCGAGGGAACUUUGUAUGUAGGUUUUGUCUCUUCCAAUCAAGACAAUAACCGUUUAUUCGCCAAAGUGCUGAACCCCGGCGACGUGUUCGUGUUUCCUAUUGGAAUGAUCUAUUUUCAAGUGAAUAUCGGAAAGACCCCGCAGUGGCCUUUGUUGGACUAAGUAGUCAAAACGCUGGUGUUAUCACGAUCGCAGAUACUGUGUUUGGAUCAACACCUCCGAUUAAUCCAGAGAUUCUGGCUCAAGCAUUUCAGUUAGAUGUGAAUGUUGUCAAGGACCUUGAAGCCAAGUUUAAAAACUAAAUCUAGUCAUUACGACACGAGGUUAAACUUCCGAUAUAUAAUAUUCAAUUUAUCCAAAUUUCAGCUCAAGCAGGAAUCCAAAAUCCAUCUAAGGAAUGUUAAACUUCCGAUACUUUUACACGAUCGAUCAAAUGAUUAUCUACAUUGCAGAAUGAUUUUUUUUCUUUCUAAGAAAC
This 9313-nucleotide long non-coding RNA is filed under the name Arabidopsis lyrata. RNAcentral describes it as "long non-coding RNA (ALYR_LNC001097)". Lineage: Eukaryota; Viridiplantae; Streptophyta; Magnoliopsida; Brassicales; Brassicaceae. The record is from RNAcentral.